RNAcentral lists this unclassified non-coding RNA (569 nucleotides) under Lindleya mespiloides. RNAcentral describes it as "external transcribed spacer". Lineage: Eukaryota; Viridiplantae; Streptophyta; Magnoliopsida; Rosales; Rosaceae. The record is from RNAcentral.
UUUUCAUGCCUAGCGGUGCGGCUUGGCUCCUACCUGGCGUAUUGCACUCAAGACGCGUCCCUUUAUGGGGCUUAGUCGAGACGUGUCUUUCGUUGGGCGGUGCUGGGUUUAAGCUAACGUGAUGGCGUAUGAGUGGUAAUUGGGUUAAAUUGGACGGCAGGCUCCGUGCUUUGGCAUCGAACUGUCUUCUUGUACCCCGCUUCAUGGAUGCUGCAUCAAGAUUUGUCUUGUGCGCGUGACGGUUUUCUGUGUUGGCUACCUAUUAUUAAGGAAUGUUGCCUCUCGUUUGUCCAUUUCCUCCUCUUGCUGGCAUUGCUGGCGGGACGACGGCAUCGUAGCGGCGCUCGUGUCCCGAACAACCCUCACCUGUUGUGAGAUCGUGUCGGUCCUCGAGUUUUCGCUUGAUAUCUCUCGGAUGCAGAACGCAAAAGGGACGGUGGGUCUAUAUACGGCCUCCGAUCGUCCAUUCGAAGCCUUGUCGCUUGAUGCGUACGACUGUUGUGCCCGUCGCGAGCUCCUGACCUCUUUGGUCGUUUGUCCCGCGCGGUGUCGACGUCGAAGAGGAAUGC